GCCUCUGUGUGGUGUGGGGAGAAGCUGGUCCUCCGUGUGCUCCUAUAGCGCUACUGCCUCACCCUCACCCCCUAGGGCUGGAUCCAAAGAAGCCUCAAUCCCCAACCCUUAGAGCAUUAGCCGGGAAGGCUUCCUACCCCCCCACUUCAGAAGCAGGACUCCUCUCCCCCCUUUCCCCUCCAGAGACAGAAACUUAGGGUUUUUCCUCUUUCUCUUAGGGUCAGAAGCCAGAAAGGGCUCCCCUUCCACUUCUAGAGGGGCGAAAGCUUCGCCUCCCUUUCCUCAGGGGCACAGAUCCUUACUCUACCGUACUUCCGAGCUAACGGCUUUGCCUCGGCACCGCCACUCGAGAGGCAGCACCUAGAGGACUAGUCGCCUUUGCCGCUCCGCAGGCGCGACCUUUUGCAGAGGAGGGAGGGGUGCAGAGGCUAGCAGCCCGCGCCCUCCCCUCCCCCACUCGUUCCUCUUGCACCUGGUCCCUGGCACCCCAGAGUUCCCCAUACCUAGGUCUUUCCACCUAUCCACUCCCUGACCUUUUCCUGUCUCCUGGCUGUAGCCAUGGAGUUACCGAAGGGAAAGGGAGCAGCAGCAGCAGCUGCUCCGGGAGCAGCGGGAGGUGGAGGAGGAGGAGCGGGAGCAGGAGCCCCAGGAGGGGGGAGGCUGCUACUUUCAACCAGUUUGGAUGCCAAGGAUGAGUUAGAGGAGAGACUGGAAAGGUGUAUGAGCAUUGUGACGUCAAUGACGACUGGUGUCUCCGAAAGAGAGGCCAAUGAUGCCCUCAAUGCCUAUGUAUGUAAAGGUCCCCCCCAGCAUGAGGAAAUCUGCUUGGGUCUGUUUACUCUUGUCCUCACUGAACCUGCCCAAGCUCAGAAGUGUUACCGGGACUUGGCUCUGGUGAGUCGUGAUGGCAUGAAUAUUGUCUUGAAUAAAAUCAACCAGAUACUUAUGGAGAAGUACCUGAAGUUGCAGGAUACCUGCCGUACUCAGUUGGUGUGGUUGGUACGGGAACUAGUGAAGAGUGGGGUUCUGGGAGCUGAUGGUGUUUGCAUGACAUUUAUGAAGCAGAUUGCAGGUGGAGAUGUUACAGCCAAAAAUAUCUGGUUGGCAGAAAGUGUUCUGGAUAUCCUGACGGAGCAGAGUAUCUUCCCUUCCUGCAGGGAGUGGGUGCUGAAGAGUAGCAUCCUCAUUGCCAUGGCUGUUUAUACAUACCUCCGCCUCAUCGUGGACCACCAUGGGACGGCCCAGCUCCAGGCCCUGAGACAGAAAGAAGUGGACUUCUGUAUCUCACUGCUUCGGGAACGGUUCAUGGAAUGUUUGAUGAUUGGUCGGGACCUUGUGAGACUACUUCAGAAUGUUGCUAGGAUACCAGAAUUUGAACUGCUUUGGAAAGAUAUAAUUCAUAACCCUCAGGCCUUGAGUCCUCAGUUCACAGGUAUUCUACAGCUUCUUCAAUCAAGAACAUCCCGAAAAUUCCUAGCAUGUCGACUAACUCCAGACAUGGAGACAAAGCUCCUCUUCAUGACAUCUCGGGUGCGAUUUGGUCAGCAAAAGCGAUACCAAGAUUGGUUCCAGCGCCAGUACCUGUCAACCCCAGACAGUCAGUCUUUACGCUGUGACCUCAUUCGAUAUAUCUGUGGAGUAGUCCACCCUUCUAAUGAAGUACUGAGUUCGGAUAUCUUGCCCCGAUGGGCCAUCAUUGGUUGGCUCCUAACAACAUGCACAUCAAAUGUUGCUGCUUCUAAUGCCAAACUGGCUUUGUUUUACGACUGGCUGUUCUUUAGUCCAGACAAGGAUAGCAUUAUGAACAUAGAGCCAGCCAUCCUGGUCAUGCAUCACUCCAUGAAGCCCCACCCAGCCAUCACUGCCACACUCCUGGACUUCAUGUGCCGUAUCAUUCCUAACUUCUAUCCACCAUUGGAGGGCCAUGUGCGACAGGGUGUCUUUUCCUCCCUCAACCACAUUGUGGAAAAGCGGGUGUUGGCACACUUGGCUCCUCUGUUUGACAACCCAAAAUUGGAUAAAGAGCUGAGGGCCAUGCUUCGAGAGAAAUUUCCUGAGUUCUGCAGCUCACCCUCCCCACCUGUGGAAGUCAAAAUUGAGGAACCAGUUUCCAUGGAGAUGGACAACCACAUGUCAGAUAAGGAUGAAAGUUGCUAUGAAAACGCAGAGGCAGCCUUCAGUGAUGAUGAGGAGGAUCUCAAUAGCAAAGGAAAGAAGAGAGAGUUUCGCUUCCACCCCAUCAAGGAAACGGUUGUGGAGGAGCCAGUCGAUAUCACUCCUUACCUUGACCAGCUGGAUGAGUCUCUAAGGGACAAAGUGCUCCAGCUACAGAAGGGAAGUGAUACGGAGGCCCAGUGUGAGGUCAUGCAGGAAAUCGUGGACCAGGUCCUGGAGGAAGACUUUGACUCGGAGCAGCUGUCUGUCCUUGCUUCCUGCCUACAGGAGCUCUUCAAGGCCCAUUUCCGAGGGGAGGUGCUACCUGAGGAGGUCACUGAGGAAUCCCUGGAGGAGUCUGUAGGGAAGCCUCUCUACCUAAUAUUUAGGAACCUAUGCCAGAUGCAGGAAGAUAACAGCAGUUUCUCUUUGCUUCUGGACCUUCUCUCUGAGCUAUAUCAAAAGCAGCCCAAGAUAGGCUACCAUCUGCUUUACUACCUGAGGGCCAGCAAAGCUGCCGCAGGGAAGAUGAACCUGUAUGAGUCAUUUGCCCAAGCCACUCAGCUGGGUGAUCUGCACACCUGCCUAAUGAUGGAUAUGAAGGCGUGCCAGGAAGACGAUGUGCGGCUGCUGUGCCACCUCACGCCCUCCAUCUACACAGAGUUUCCAGAUGAAACCUUGAGAAGUGGAGAGCUGUUGAACAUGAUUGUGGCUGUUAUUGACUCUGCACAGCUUCAGGAGCUAGUCUGCCAUGUGAUGAUGGGGAACCUGGUCAUGUUUCGAAAAGACUCCGUCCUCAACAUACUCAUUCAGAGCCUGGACUGGGAAACCUUUGAGCAGUAUUGUGCCUGGCAGCUCUUCCUGGCCCACAACAUCCCCCUGGAGACUAUAAUCCCCAUCCUGCAGCACCUCAAAUACAAGGAGCACCCAGAAGCCCUGUCCUGCCUACUGCUUCAGCUCCGAAGAGAGAAGCCCAGUGAGGAAAUGGUAAAGAUGGUGCUGAGCCGGCCCUGCCACCCAGACGACCAGUUCACUACUAGCAUCCUGAGGCACUGGUGCAUGAAGCAUGACGAGCUGCUGGCCGAGCACAUCAAGUCCCUGCUCAUCAAGAACAACAGCCUCCCUCGAAAAAGGCAGAGCCUGAGAAGCUCCAGCAGCAAGCUGGCCCAGUUGACUCUGGAGCAGAUCCUGGAGCACUUGGACAACUUGCGGCUCAACCUGACCAACACCAAGCAGAACUUUUUUAGCCAGACCCCAAUCCUACAGGCACUGCAGCAUGUCCAGGCGAGCUGUGAUGAAGCCCACAAGAUGAAAUUCAGUGAUCUCUUCUCCCUGGCGGAGGAAUAUGAGGACUCUUCCACUAAGCCACCCAAGAGCCGGAGAAAGGCAGCUCUGUCCAGUCCUCGAAGUCGAAAGAAUGCCACUCAGCCACCCAAUGCUGAGGAAGAGUCUGGCUCCAGCAGCGCCUCUGAGGAGGAAGACACAAAACCAAAGCCCACCAAGCGGAAACGAAAAGGAUCCUCUGCAGUGGGUUCCGACAGUGACUGAGGCCCUGUGUUCCCAUCCCACCAAGCUGGACUGCCCUCUCCUCCCUGAUGAACCCAAGGCUCCUCCUCCAGUCUCCAAAGAACCAUUUGGACAGAGAGGGAAAUGUUGGGCAGAGAAUCUGGGAUGAAAGCAGAUGCUCAGUGUGUGAGUAUCCCUUCUGCUCCCCCCUCAGUCUUGAUUUGCUCCGAACAGACGUUCUGUAGUCACUGUGCACAUGACAGUGUGAAACAGGCACCUCACCUGGCAUGGUCAGUGCCUAUCCACACAGAUGCCACAAGCCUUCAGGAAGGAACCUGACAGGGUGAUUCCCAGCACCACAUGUUGUGCCCAGAAGCUUGGGUUGGCCUGAGGUUGACACCUCAAGCUGGGCCAGAGCCCAGGGGAGUCCCAGAGGCAAGUCCCUCAGAACUGUCAAAUGGUCCAUUUCCUUGGUUCUGUUUUUGCUUUUUUUUUUUUUUUGGCAGAGAUAAUCGAGUUUUAAAAGUUGUUUUUAAAUGACAAUAAAGCAAGCCAGAAAGUCUUUUGUGCAAGAGUUGCCAUCUACCCUUACCUGUGUGUGUACAGGUGGUCUCAGUUUAAUUGAUACUGCUCCUUGAGGCUUCCCAACUGCCUGCCUUUUGUCUGUAGCAGGAGAGACUUGGCUUUGCCCUCCCCCAAAUCCUUCCCACUACCAGUGGAGGUGUGAGCCAGGCACUGACCUGUCCCUGGGGAAACUGAUUGCCCUGUAGGCAGAUGUCUAUCUUUGCCCAUUGCUUAUCAAGAAACUGCUCCUCCAAAAGUUAGUAUUUGUCCAGCUCACUCCAGUUUAUUAAGUCUGCUUGCUUACCAACUGCUCAGCAAGGAGGGAGCUUCACCUUGUGUUUAGAAGGAAAAAAGUGUGUCUGGGGGGGAGACCCUUUUCCAGUCUGGCCACUUGUUGGUUCCCGAGUACCCCCAGAAGAAUUCCUUGGCUGUGCUUUUUGUUCCCCUCCUGUCCAGAGAGAUUGGAGACCUGCUGAGGAGAGAGGAGUGAGUUGGGCUCAAUGCAGAUAGCUCCUUUCAUUCAGCCUGCACUGCUACCUGUUUAGCGAGCCAGGCUCUCCACAACUUCAAAGCUGCUACUCCUUUGAAAACCUAAACUAUCAGAGGCCCCUUUUUCCUUCCUUUCUCCUUCCCCAGUUUCCACUGCCUCAAUUAAAGCCAGCAUGGAUGGAUGGCCCAAUUACUGUACCCUUGCCCAAAGGGUGGGACUUCCGUCAUGGCCCUGCAGAAAUCUAGCAGUCUGGGCCUCCAUCUUUCCCCUACUUAACUCUGGGGCCCCCACCCACCUCCUGGAGGUACUACUGCUGCUGGGAGCUGGAGGGAACGCAUGGGUCUAGCUGUCAUGCUGGGACUUGCAGAACCGAUGGGCCAGGGGCCAAGUUUUUCAGUUUCCUUUGAGAGAAAGCAAAAGAAACCCUCCUAUCACGGGUGAAAAUGAAAACUUGAGGGAAAGAUGGACUGCGGCCCAAAUGCCCUGGCUCUUAGACCGGUACACCACAGUCCAGCCAGAAGCCUAAACCUCCCAAGAGGAGAAAACUCAAAGCGGGACGUGCACGACCCUGGGAUUGAGAAAAGGCUUCAGCACGCCCAAGACAUGACAAGAGUGCAGGCCGCGAGC
Molecule: non-coding RNA, 5341 nt
Organism: Castor canadensis (American beaver)
Lineage: Eukaryota; Metazoa; Chordata; Mammalia; Rodentia; Castoridae
Source: RefSeq, a predicted model, not a curated record